GUUGUGGGCGUGCUUUUGUAUGGCAGGAAAGCGCUUUGGUUAAGUGGAGUAGGCUCGUACCAGAAGGCAUCACCCUGCAAUUCCUUAAAGAAAAGAUCCAUUUUCUUCCCUGGCUAGCGGCUGUUCUCCCGGGAAUUUAAAAUUUUGUUUUCGACGGCUAUAUAUAUAUAACGGUCUCCUCAAAUUGAAUUUCUCUCUUUAACAGGAGAAUUUUCAGUAGAAGCAAUUGCCCAUGUGGUCAAACGUUUGUUCUUUUAG
This 258-nucleotide unclassified non-coding RNA is filed under the name Hevea brasiliensis (rubber tree). Lineage: Eukaryota; Viridiplantae; Streptophyta; Magnoliopsida; Malpighiales; Euphorbiaceae. The record is from RNAcentral.